This 587-nucleotide ribosomal RNA is filed under the name uncultured bacterium. Its description in RNAcentral is "partial 16S ribosomal RNA". It matches the Rfam family "Bacterial small subunit ribosomal RNA", at positions 355 to 1375 of the family's 1533-position model. The record is from RNAcentral.
UGGGGAAUUUUGGACAAUGGGCGAAAGCCUGAUCCAGCAAUGCCGCGUGUGUGAAGAAGGCCUUCGGGUUGUAAAGCACUUUUGUCCGGAAAGAAAUCCUUGGCUCUAAUACAGUCGGGGGAUGACGGUACCGGAAGAAUAAGCACCGGCUAACUACGUGCCAGCAGCCGCGGUAAUACGUAGGGUGCAAGCGUUAAUCGGAAUUACUGGGCGUAAAGCGUGCGCAGGCGGUUUGCUAAGACCGAUGUGAAAUCCCCGGGGCUCAACCUGGGAACUGCAUUGGUGACUGGCAGGCUAGAGUAUGGCAGAGGGGGGUAGAAUUCCACGUGUAGCAGUGAAAUGCGUAGAGAUGUGGAGGAAUACCGAUGGCGAAGGCAGCCCCCUGGGCCAAUACUGACGCUCAUGCACGAAAGCGUGGGGAGCAAAACAGGAUUAGAUACCCUGGUAGUCCACGCCCUAAACGAUGUCAACUAGUUGUUGGGGAUUCAUUUCCUUAGUAACGUAGCUAACGCGUGAAGUUGACCGCCUGGGGAGUACGGUCGCAAGAUUAAAACUUAAAGGAAUUGACGGGGUCAUAGCUGUUUCCU